UACAUUUUAGUAUAUGGUGUAUAAAAGUUUUUGAUAUUUUUGGGAAUAGUUUAAUUCUAUUAAAUGUAA
RNAcentral lists this transfer RNA (69 nucleotides) under Dyscolus arauzae. RNAcentral describes it as "tRNA-Gln". The record is from RNAcentral. Lineage: Eukaryota; Metazoa; Arthropoda; Insecta; Coleoptera; Carabidae.